Molecule: long non-coding RNA, 662 nt
Filed under: Neogobius melanostomus (round goby)
Lineage: Eukaryota; Metazoa; Chordata; Actinopteri; Gobiiformes; Gobiidae
Description: lncRNA (ENSNMLG00000002669.1)
Source: RNAcentral
AUGGUGGCCGAUGGCCUGGCUUUUGUCCUCCGUGUGGGUUCCUCCGGUUGUUUGGGUCCUGACAGCGCGUGCCUCUGCGCUCGGAGGAGGUCUCCACGCAACACCAUGGCUGUCUCGCCUUUUACCUCUGUACCCAUGUCGUCUGAGUUAUUUCCCUCUACUGUGAUAAAUCCAUUGGGAUACUCUGAUAAAAAAAAGGUCCAUACAAAACGGACACUAAUAAAACAAGAAAACCAAGGGGAAAAACAAGGCAGCAGGAGAACAUAAAGCAGCAGGAUAUGACCAAAGCCCUCGACCGUCGCACACCCGCACGAGCUACUCUGCCAUCCCGGUGCUUCGAUAGUGCUCACACCGCACCCCAGCAGACCCCGGAAUGCCAACCGAGCAGAGCUUUGGACGCCAUGUGAUGGUGCGCUAUGAAGCCCUCAACCACCCGCGACACUGACAGAAGACGUAAACACACCCUGGGCGCUCCCCAGCCCAGCGGACCCAAGGCGGAAGUACGGAGAAUAGCAGAGGACGAGUGAAGAAAGGGAGAGGCUUUUAUAUGAUUUUAAGGGGUCGAGCGCCAUCUGCUGAUGUUCCGAUGCUAUAUACUAAUAAUGAAUAAUAAAGAUCUACUAGCUUAUAUUUACAAUAACAUUGGUAAUGCCACACAUAUA